This 103-nucleotide microRNA precursor is filed under the name Marmota monax (woodchuck). The record is from RNAcentral. Lineage: Eukaryota; Metazoa; Chordata; Mammalia; Rodentia; Sciuridae.
AGUGGGAUAGUUGGGUCAAAUGGUGGUUCCAUUCCAAGUUUUUUGAGGAAUCUCCAUACUGUUUUCCAUAGUGGUUGCACCAAUUUAUAUUCCUACCAGCAAU